RNAcentral lists this ribosomal RNA (609 nucleotides) under Aureobasidium pullulans. RNAcentral's name for it is "partial large subunit ribosomal RNA". It matches the Rfam family "Eukaryotic large subunit ribosomal RNA", at positions 43 to 669 of the family's 3401-position model. The record is from RNAcentral. Lineage: Eukaryota; Fungi; Ascomycota; Dothideomycetes; Dothideales; Saccotheciaceae.
UUUUUAAAUAGGGGAAAAGAAACCAACAGGGAUUGCCCUAGUAACGGCGAGUGAAGCGGCAACAGCUCAAAUUUGAAAGCUAGCCUUCGGGUUCGCAUUGUAAUUUGUAGAGGAUGAUUUGGGGAAGCCGCCUGUCUAAGUUCCUUGGAACAGGACGUCAUAGAGGGUGAGAAUCCCGUAUGUGACAGGAAAUGGCACCCUAUGUAAAUCUCCUUCGACGAGUCGAGUUGUUUGGGAAUGCAGCUCUAAAUGGGAGGUAAAUUUCUUCUAAAGCUAAAUAUUGGCGAGAGACCGAUAGCGCACAAGUAGAGUGAUCGAAAGAUGAAAAGCACUUUGGAAAGAGAGUUAAAAAGCACGUGAAAUUGUUGAAAGGGAAGCGCUUGCAAUCAGACUUGUUUAAACUGUUCGGCCGGUCUUCUGACCGGUUUACUCAGUUUGGACAGGCCAGCAUCAGUUUCGGCGGCCGGAUAAAGGCUCUGGGAAUGUGGCCUCCACUUCGGUGGAGGUGUUAUAGCCCAGGGUGUAAUACGGCCAGCCGGGACUGAGGUCCGCGCUUCGGCUAGGAUGCUGGCGUAAUGGUUGUAAGCACCCGCUGAAAAAAGGGGCCCA